GACGAACGCUGGCGGCGUGCUUAACACAUGCAAGUCGAACGGAAAGGCCCUGCUUGCAGGGUACUCGAGUGGCGAACGGGUGAGUAACACGUGGGUGAUCUGCCCUGCACUUCGGGAUAAGCCUGGGAAACUGGGUCUAAUACCGGAUAGGAGCCAUUUUUAGUGUGAUGGUUGGAAAGUUUUUUCGGUGUAGGAUGAGCUCGCGGCCUAUCAGCUUGUUGGUGGGGUAAUGGCCUACCAAGGCGGCGACGGGUAGCCGGCCUGAGAGGGUGGACGGCCACAUUGGGACUGAGAUACGGCCCAGACUCCUACGGGAGGCAGCAGUGGGGAAUAUUGCACAAUGGGCGCAAGCCUGAUGCAGCGACGCCGCGUGGGGGAUGACGGCCUUCGGGUUGUAAACUCCUUUCGCUAGGGACGAAGCUUUUUGUGACGGUACCUUGAGAAGAAGCACCGGCUAACUACGUG
Molecule: ribosomal RNA, 465 nt
Filed under: uncultured bacterium
Lineage: Bacteria
Description: partial 16S ribosomal RNA
Rfam family: Bacterial small subunit ribosomal RNA
Source: RNAcentral